CGGGUGAGUAACGCGUGGAUAACCUGCCUCACACUGGGGGAUAACAGUUAGAAAUGACUGCUAAUACCGCAUAAGCGCACAGUACCGCAUGGUACAGUGUGAAAAACUCCGGUGGUGUGAGAUGGAUCCGCGUCUGAUUAGCCAGUUGGCGGGGUAACGGCCCGCCAAAGCGACGAUCAGUAGCCGACCUGAGAGGGUGACCGGCCACAUUGGGACUGAGACACGGCCCAA
Molecule: ribosomal RNA, 231 nt
Filed under: uncultured bacterium
Lineage: Bacteria
Description: partial 16S ribosomal RNA
Rfam family: Bacterial small subunit ribosomal RNA
Source: RNAcentral